This 434-nucleotide ribosomal RNA is filed under the name uncultured Roseburia sp. Its description in RNAcentral is "partial 16S ribosomal RNA". It matches the Rfam family "Bacterial small subunit ribosomal RNA", at positions 341 to 792 of the family's 1533-position model. The record is from RNAcentral. Lineage: Bacteria; Bacillati; Bacillota; Clostridia; Lachnospirales; Lachnospiraceae.
ACGGGAGGCAGCAGUGGGGAAUAUUGCACAAUGGGGGAAACCCUGAUGCAGCAACGCCGCGUGAGUGAAGAAGUAUUUCGGUAUGUAAAGCUCUAUCAGCAGGGAAGAUAAUGACGGUACCUGACUAAGAAGCACCGGCUAAAUACGUGCCAGCAGCCGCGGUAAUACGUAUGGUGCAAGCGUUAUCCGGAUUUACUGGGUGUAAAGGGAGCGUAGGCGGUACGGCAAGUCAGAUGUGAAAGCCCGGGGCUCAACCUCGGGACUGCAUUUGAAACUGUCGAACUAGAGUAUCGGAGAGGUGAGUGGAAUUCCAAGUGUAGCGGUGAAAUGCGUAGAUAUUUGGAAGAACACCGGUGGCGAAGGCGGCUCACUGGACGAUAACUGACGCUGAGGCUCGAAAGCGUGGGGAGCAAACAGGAUUAGAUACCCUGGUA